CUUAGCUACUGACGCGAGGGUCUUACACAAAUAUGAAGGCGGGCUGGAACCUCUCGGGGUUACAGCCUUGCUGAAUUAUUCACCCUUGUCUUUUGCGUACUUCUUGUUUCCUUGGUGGUUCGCCCACCACUAGGACAAACAUAAACCUUUUGUAAUUGCAAUCAGCGUCAGUAACAAAAAUAAUUACAACUUUCAACAACGGAUCUCUUGGUUCUGGCAUCGAUGAAGAACGCAGCGAGCGAUAAGUAGUGUGAAUUGCAGAAUUCAGUGAAUCAUCGAAUCUUUGAACGCACAUUGCCUUUGGUAUUCCAAAGGGCAUGCCUGUUCGAGCGUCAUUGUACCCUCAAGCUUUGCUUGGGGCGUCUUGUCUCUAGCUUUGCUGGAGACUCGCCUUAAAGUAAUUGGCAGCCGGCCUACUGGUUUCGGAGCGCAGCACAAGUCGCACUCUCUAUCAGCAAAGGUCUAGCAUCCAUUAAGCCUUUUUUCAACUUGACCCGGAACAAUGGAAUAGCUUCUGCCCUCCUAAUAUGUUCGAAAU
Molecule: ribosomal RNA, 538 nt
Filed under: Alternaria sp. WF166
Lineage: Eukaryota; Fungi; Ascomycota; Dothideomycetes; Pleosporales; Pleosporaceae
Description: partial 18S ribosomal RNA
Rfam family: 5.8S ribosomal RNA (bases 188-335)
Source: RNAcentral